UAAUACGUAGGGUGCGAGCGUUAAUCGGAAUUACUGGGCGUAAAGCGUGCGUAGGUGGUUCGUUGUGUCUGUGGUGAAAGCCCCGGGCUUAACCUGGGAAUGGCCAUGGAAACUGGCGAGCUGGAGUCUGGCAGAGGGGGGUGGAAUUCCGCGUGUAGCAGUGAAAUGCGUAGAGAUGCGGAGGAACACCGAUGGCGAAGGCAGCCCCCUGGGCUAAGACUGACGCUGAGGCACGAAAGCGUGGGGAGCAAACAGGAUUAGAUACCCUGGUAGUCCACGCCCUAAACGAUGUCAACUGGGUGUUCGGGAAGCGAUUCCUGGGUACCGUAGCUAACGCGUGAAGUUGACCGCCUGGGGAGUACGGCCGCAAGGUUA
This 375-nucleotide ribosomal RNA is filed under the name uncultured bacterium. RNAcentral describes it as "bacterial SSU rRNA". It matches the Rfam family "Bacterial small subunit ribosomal RNA", at positions 521 to 896 of the family's 1533-position model. The record is from RNAcentral.